This 222-nucleotide ribosomal RNA is filed under the name uncultured bacterium. RNAcentral's name for it is "partial 16S ribosomal RNA". It matches the Rfam family "Bacterial small subunit ribosomal RNA", at positions 524 to 737 of the family's 1533-position model. The record is from RNAcentral.
UACUAGGGGGCAAGCGUUGUCCGGAUUUAUUGGGCGUAAAGAGCGUGUAGGCGGUUUUACAGGUCCGCUGUGAAAAACUCGAGACUCAACCUCGAGCUGUCGGUGGAAACCGUAAGGCUAGAGUCCGGAAGAGGAGAGUGGAAUUCCUGGUGUAGCGGUGAAAAUGCGCAGAUAUCAGGGAGGGAAACACCCGGUGGGCGAAAGGCGGGGUCUCUGGGGCAA